This 454-nucleotide ribosomal RNA is filed under the name uncultured bacterium. Its description in RNAcentral is "bacterial SSU rRNA". It matches the Rfam family "Bacterial small subunit ribosomal RNA", at positions 340 to 786 of the family's 1533-position model. The record is from RNAcentral.
UACGGAAGGCAGCAGGGGGAAUAUUGCACAAUGGGCGCAAGCCUGAUGCAGCCAUGCCGCGUGUAUGAAGAAGGCCUUCGGGUUGUAAAGUACUUUCAGCGGGGAGGAAGGCGAUGUGGUUAAUAACCGCGUCGAUUGACGUUACCCGCAGAAGAAGCACCGGCUAACUCCGUGCCAGCAGCCGCGGUAAUACGGAGGGUGCAAGCGUUAAUCGGAAUUACUGGGCGUAAAGCGCACGCAGGCGGUCUGUUAAGUCAGAUGUGAAAUCCCCGGGCUUAACCUGGGAACUGCAUUUUGAAACUGGCAGGCUUGAGUCUCGUAGAGGGGGUAGAAUUCCAGGUGUAGCGGUGAAAUGCGUAGAGAUCUGGAGGAAUACCGGUGGCGAAGGCGGCCCCUGGGACGAAGACUGACGCUCAGGGUGCGAAAGCUGGGGAGCAAACAGGGAUUAGAUACC